This 443-nucleotide ribosomal RNA is filed under the name uncultured bacterium. RNAcentral's name for it is "partial 16S ribosomal RNA". It matches the Rfam family "Bacterial small subunit ribosomal RNA", at positions 338 to 795 of the family's 1533-position model. The record is from RNAcentral.
CCUACGGGUGGCAGCAGUGGGGAAUAUUGGGCAAUGGAGGAAACUCUGACCCAGCAACGCCGCGUGAAUGAUGAAGGUCUUCGGAUUGUAAAGUUCUUUUCUAAGGGAAGAAGAAAGUGACGGUACCUUAGGAAUAAGCCGCGGCUAACUACGUGCCAGUAGCCGCGGUAAUACGUAGGAGGCGAGCGUUAGCUGGAAUGACUGGGCGGAAAGGGCGCGUAGGUGGUUUGGCAAGUUCGUAGCGUAACUCCAAGGCUCAACCUUGGAACUACUACUAAAACUGUUGGAAUUUAGUGCAGGAGGGGCAACCGAAAUUCCUAGGGGAGCGGUGGAAUGCGUAGAUAUUAGGAGGAACACCAGUGGCGAAGGCGGGUUGCUAGACUGUAACUGACACUGAGGCACGAAAGCGUGGGGAGCAAACAGGAUUAGAUACCCGUGUAGUC